CGUGGGUAACCUGCCCAAGAGAUCGGGAUAACACCUGGAAACAGAUUCUAAUACCGGAUAACAACAGAUGAUGCCUAUCAACUGUUUAAAAGAUGGUUCUGCUAUCACUCUUGGAUGGACCUGCGGUGCAUUAGCUAGUUGGUAGGGUAACGGCCUACCAAGGCGAUGAUGCAUAGCCGAGUUGAGAGACUGAUCGGCCACAUUGGGACUGAGACACGGCCCAAACUCCUACGGGAGGCAGCAGCC
This 246-nucleotide ribosomal RNA is filed under the name uncultured Lactobacillus sp. Its description in RNAcentral is "partial 16S ribosomal RNA". It matches the Rfam family "Bacterial small subunit ribosomal RNA", at positions 116 to 355 of the family's 1533-position model. The record is from RNAcentral. Lineage: Bacteria; Bacillati; Bacillota; Bacilli; Lactobacillales; Lactobacillaceae.